Molecule: ribosomal RNA, 497 nt
Filed under: uncultured bacterium
Lineage: Bacteria
Description: partial 16S ribosomal RNA
Rfam family: Bacterial small subunit ribosomal RNA
Source: RNAcentral
GAUGAACGCUGGCGGCGUGCCUAAUACAUGCAAGUCGAGCGAACAGACGCGGAGCUUGCUCCUCUGACGUUAGCGGCGGACGGGUGAGUAACACGUGGAUCACCUCCCUAUAAGACUGGGAUAACUUCGUGAAACCGGAGCUAAUACCGUAUAAUAUAUUGAACCGCAUGGUUCAAUAGUGAAAGACGGUUUUGCUGUCACUUAUAGAUGGAUCCGCGCCGCAUUAGCUAGUUGGUAAGGUAACGGCUUACCAAGGCAACGAUGCGUAGCCGACCUGAGAGGGUGAUCGGCCACACUGGAACUGAGACACGGCCCAGACUCCUACGGGAGGCAGCAGUAGGGAAUCUUCCGCAAUGGGCGAAAGCCUGACGGAGCAACGCCGCGUGAGGGAUGAAGGUCUUCGGAUCGUAAAACGCUGUUAUUAGGGAAGAAAAAAUGUGUAAGUAACUAGGCACGUCUUGACGGUACCUAAUCAGAAAGCCACGGCUAACUACGUG